UACGUAGGGUGCAAGCGUUAUUCGGAAUCACUGGGCAUAAAGGGCGCGCAGGCGGUGACGUAAGUCAGUGGUGAAAUCCCUCGGCUCAACCGAGGAACUGCCAUUGAUACUGCGUUACUAGAGUGUGGGAAGGGUAGACGGAAUUCCAGGUGGAGCGGUGAAAUGCGUAGAUAUCUGGAGGAACGCCAGAGGCGAAAGCGGUCUGCUGGCCCACAACUGACGCUGAGGCGCGAAAGCUAGGGUAGCAAAUGGG
Molecule: ribosomal RNA, 253 nt
Filed under: uncultured bacterium
Lineage: Bacteria
Description: partial 16S ribosomal RNA
Rfam family: Bacterial small subunit ribosomal RNA
Source: RNAcentral